CCUACGGGGGGCAGCAGUGGGGAAUAUUGGACAAUGGGCGCAAGCCUGAUCCAGCCAUGCCGCGUGAGUGAUGAAGGCCUUAGGGUUGUAAAGCUCUUUUGUCCGGGAAGAUAAUGACUGUACCGGAAGAAUAAGCCCCGGCUAACUUCGUGCCAGCAGCCGCGGUAAUACGAAGGGGGCUAGCGUUGCUCGGAAUCACUGGGCGUAAAGGGCGCGUAGGCGGACUUUUAAGUCGGGGGUGAAAGCCCAGGGCUCAACCCUGGAAUUGCCUUCGAUACUGGGAGUCUUGAGUUCGGAAGAGGUUGGUGGAACUGCGAGUGUAGAGGUGAAAUUCGUAGAUAUUCGCAAGAACACCGGUGGCGAAGGCGGCCAACUGGUCCGAUACUGACGCUGAGGCGCGAAAGCGUGGGG
RNAcentral lists this ribosomal RNA (411 nucleotides) under uncultured Allobosea sp. RNAcentral's name for it is "bacterial SSU rRNA". It matches the Rfam family "Bacterial small subunit ribosomal RNA", at positions 338 to 766 of the family's 1533-position model. Lineage: Bacteria; Pseudomonadati; Pseudomonadota; Alphaproteobacteria; Hyphomicrobiales; Alloboseaceae. The record is from RNAcentral.